RNAcentral lists this ribosomal RNA (1406 nucleotides) under Plantibacter sp. Its description in RNAcentral is "bacterial SSU rRNA". It matches the Rfam family "Bacterial small subunit ribosomal RNA". The record is from RNAcentral. Lineage: Bacteria; Bacillati; Actinomycetota; Actinomycetes; Micrococcales; Microbacteriaceae.
UUAACACAUGCAAGUCGAACGAUGAAGCCCAGAUUGCUGGGUGGAUUAGUGGCGAACGGGUGAGUAACACGUGAGUAACCUGCCCUUGACUCUGGGAUAAGCGUUGGAAACGACGUCUAAUACCGGAUACGAGCUUCCACCGCAUGGUGAGUUGCUGGAAAGAAUUUUGGUCAAGGAUGGACUCGCGGCCUAUCAGCUUGUUGGUGAGGUAACGGCUCACCAAGGCGACGACGGGUAGCCGGCCUGAGAGGGUGACCGGCCACACUGGGACUGAGACACGGCCCAGACUCCUACGGGAGGCAGCAGUGGGGAAUAUUGCACAAUGGGCGAAAGCCUGAUGCAGCAACGCCGCGUGAGGGACGACGGCCUUCGGGUUGUAAACCUCUUUUAGCAGGGAAGAAGCGAAAGUGACGGUACCUGCAGAAAAAGCACCGGCUAACUACGUGCCAGCAGCCGCGGUAAUACGUAGGGUGCAAGCGUUGUCCGGAAUUAUUGGGCGUAAAGAGCUCGUAGGCGGUUUGUCGCGUCUGCUGUGAAAUCCCGAGGCUCAACCUCGGGUCUGCAGUGGGUACGGGCAGACUAGAGUGCGGUAGGGGAGAUUGGAAUUCCUGGUGUAGCGGUGGAAUGCGCAGAUAUCAGGAGGAACACCGAUGGCGAAGGCAGAUCUCUGGGCCGCUACUGACGCUGAGGAGCGAAAGGGUGGGGAGCAAACAGGCUUAGAUACCCUGGUAGUCCACCCCGUAAACGUUGGGCGCUAGAUGUGGGGACCAUUCCACGGUUUCCGUGUCGUAGCUAACGCAUUAAGCGCCCCGCCUGGGGAGUACGGCCGCAAGGCUAAAACUCAAAGGAAUUGACGGGGGCCCGCACAAGCGGCGGAGCAUGCGGAUUAAUUCGAUGCAACGCGAAGAACCUUACCAAGGCUUGACAUAUACGAGAACGGGCCAGAAAUGGUCAACUCUUUGGACACUCGUAAACAGGUGGUGCAUGGUUGUCGUCAGCUCGUGUCGUGAGAUGUUGGGUUAAGUCCCGCAACGAGCGCAACCCUCGUUCUAUGUUGCCAGCACGUUAUGGUGGGAACUCAUGGGAUACUGCCGGGGUCAACUCGGAGGAAGGUGGGGACGACGUCAAAUCAUCAUGCCCCUUAUGUCUUGGGCUUCACGCAUGCUACAAUGGCCAGUACAAAGGGCUGCAAUACCGUAAGGUGGAGCGAAUCCCAAAAAGCUGGUCCCAGUUCGGAUUGAGGUCUGCAACUCGACCUCAUGAAGUCGGAGUCGCUAGUAAUCGCAGAUCAGCAACGCUGCGGUGAAUACGUUCCCGGGCCUUGUACACACCGCCCGUCAAGUCAUGAAAGUCGGUAACACCCGAAGCCAGUGGCCUAACCGCAAGGAUGGAGCUGUCUAAGGUGG